This is a long non-coding RNA of Cygnus olor (mute swan), 576 nucleotides long. RefSeq lists it as uncharacterized. The transcript has 3 exons. The record is from RefSeq and is a predicted model, not a curated record. NCBI's taxonomy places the organism in Eukaryota, Metazoa, Chordata, Aves, Anseriformes, Anatidae.
CCAAAAUUUCAUGACCACUGGCAUCAACCUUAUGGCUUUCCCCUGUUUGAGAUGAAACUCAGAAACCUGUAGCAGAGAAAUGCUGCAUGGAGCCACAAAACUGGCAGUUCACAGAGUACAGUGAGGGCAAGUGAAUGAGAUAUUAAACAUGGCCAAGUUUGACCUCUUAAUAGUAAUGAUCUGACAGAACUUGCAAAACACAAAGUCAAACCUCAGAAGACUGGACAAAGAACUACAGAGACAGACCAGUCAAAUAUGCAACAGAAAUUUCAGUCACGUCUGUCAACGAGGUGUAGAAGAGGUGUAUAGAUUAAGAAUAAAAAUUGCCUUGCUCAGCUUGCAGAUGAGAUACUAUCGUCAAGGUUAUCACUGUACCUCUGCUGGAGAUAACGCGUGUGCCUGUAAUUUUGAUUCACAAGUCAGCUAUUUCAGCUUAUUCUCUACUUCCCUACUCUUAUUUUGCAGGUGAGAAAAUAGAGCUUACAUGGAGCUAGACUGAUUACAGCUUCUAGCCUGGAAACCAGUUAUCUAUAUAUAUCUAUAUCUAUCUCUUAGUACAAUAACAAAUAAAGGUUA